RNAcentral lists this long non-coding RNA (470 nucleotides) under Fragaria vesca (wild strawberry). Its description in RNAcentral is "long non-coding RNA (FVES_LNC004207)". Lineage: Eukaryota; Viridiplantae; Streptophyta; Magnoliopsida; Rosales; Rosaceae. The record is from RNAcentral.
CUAAUGAGCGCUCCCACGCGGCCGGAGUACGUCCUCGACUUCCCGCCCGAUACUACGUCGCCAUCCCCGUCAGUACCGAUGACAAUCCUCCCUGAGGUACCGACGAUCUUCUCGAGAGCCUUCCCUGUGACGGGGCCUCUCUUCUUUUUUGCCGGCUUCGCUCCGACGGUGCCUAUCACAUGAUAACCAAAUUGAUUAUUAAAAUCGGAGAAUUAUAAGAAAACACAUCAUUCAUCUUUCAUUACCUGAGGGCGAGGAGGCGGACGCGACGGAUUCCGCCUCCGAUGAUGAUACCCUCGCCGAAAUAAGAGGCGUAUCAAAAGGCACGAACCGGUACGCCGCUGAUGGAGCCACUGGCGGGGGCAGUGGAUAAAAUCGGCGUCCCUGAGUCAUCGACUACAGGUAUGGCCGGUAUCAUCCGCGGAAGGAAUAGGUGAGGCGGCGGCAUUUGUACCCCAGAUGACCCACUA